RNAcentral lists this long non-coding RNA (250 nucleotides) under Mytilus galloprovincialis (Mediterranean mussel). Lineage: Eukaryota; Metazoa; Mollusca; Bivalvia; Mytilida; Mytilidae. The record is from RNAcentral.
GACCACUUUUUAAACACUUAAGUGUCUAUUUCAUUUGAAUCAAUUAGUUUAUGUGAAAAAUUUUAACUGAUUUAGUCAUUAAAAACGAUCCGAUUCAAGCUCAAAUAUGAAAAAUCUACCAAAUAUGUAAAAAAAUGUCACAUUUCAGAUGGUUUUUUGUCAAAAAUGAAAGUGGCCGCAUCCGUGUUCAUCCUCAACCUUUAUAUAUGUUAUGUAUUAUCAUAAAAUACAACUUACAUUUCAAUAUUAA